UGUGUAUAGACUCAGCAGUCUGUGUGUGUGUGUAUGGACUCAGCAGAGCCUGUGUGUGUGUACGGACUCAGCAGAGCCUGUGUGUGUGUACGGACUCAGCAGAGCCUGUGUGUGUGUACGGACUCAGCAGAGUCUGUGUGUGUGUGUACGGACUCAGCAGAGUCAGUGUGUGUGUAUGGACUCAGCAGUCUGUGUGUGUGUGUGUGUGUG
Molecule: long non-coding RNA, 210 nt
Filed under: Pelobates cultripes (western spadefoot toad)
Lineage: Eukaryota; Metazoa; Chordata; Amphibia; Anura; Pelobatidae
Source: RNAcentral